Long non-coding RNA from Rattus norvegicus (Norway rat), 320 nucleotides. The record is from Ensembl. Lineage: Eukaryota; Metazoa; Chordata; Mammalia; Rodentia; Muridae.
CGAAAGAACAGCCUUCAGGGACACCAGAAGGCAGAGACCUCUCUAACUAGGAAGGACAUCAGGUUUUCACUUCAGCUUGCUCAGCUAAUGGAUUGAACGUCGAAUCCAAAUAGGCUUGGAUGUUCUGCCUGGUACCCAGCUGGUGGGGCUGUUUGGAGAUCUGAUGGGAACUUUGGGAAGUGAGGUCUGGCUGGAGAAGCCAUAAUGAGCAAGGAAGAAAAUCAAACAGGUUCCUGCAACUCCUCCCAGGAUCCUGAUCGGUCCCUGCACAGCAUUAGAGCUAGGGUGGCUCUAAGAACACCGGUGAGACAGUGAAGAGG